RNAcentral lists this long non-coding RNA (22865 nucleotides) under Equus asinus (donkey). RNAcentral's name for it is "lncRNA (ENSEASG00005032372.1)". Lineage: Eukaryota; Metazoa; Chordata; Mammalia; Perissodactyla; Equidae. The record is from RNAcentral.
GGGAUGGGAACCCUGCAGGGGAGUUGGAGACACUCUUUCAUGUGGCUUCUGCUUGUGAUGACAGAGAGGGAGGGAGAGAGCAUGUGGGCUUAGACACGGCUGGGCAGGAUCCCACACCAGAAUGUUCUGUGAGGGGGGGUGGAAUGGCUGGGGGCGGGCCCUCCAGGUGGUUGCAUCGUGCAGCUAAGGUUGAGGACAGCUGAGCUGGAGGCCCAGUUCCUGCAGGGGCGUCCACCUCCCACCUCCAGGGAGUGACUGGGGCGGGCUGCUCAGACAGGUGACAUUGAAAAGCCCUUCACUCCGAUAAACACUCUCCUCUGAAUGGCCCAGAGUGGGGGCUGGGGCUGGGGCGAGAACUCAUGGAGUCUGGAGGGGCAGGGGGGUCACUGCUGAAAUACUGUCCUCAGGACCUGUGCCCCGACAGCCUACUUCUCUCCAAUUACCCUGCUGACUGUGGGCGAUAAAACCUGUUCUCUGAAGUCUGGGCGCCCGGCAGGCCGGGCUCCCGCGUGACUAUUGGCCACCAUCGGCCCUCCCUUCUGAGUGGCCUCUCUGCGUCUUCUUCCCUCCUGUCCCUUUAGGUGGACCCUGUAGGACAGAGGAGCCAGGUGCCCCAAUAGUCUGUUAUGGAUUAGAUUGCAUCCCCCCUCCCAUUCAUAUGUCAAAGUCCUAACUCCCAGGACCUCAGAUUGUGACUGUACCUGGAAGUGGGAUCUUUACAGAGGCAAUAAGCUAAAAUGAGGUCAGUAGAGUGGGUCCUAAUCUAAUAUGACUGACGUCCUCAUGAGAAGAGGAAAUUCGGACAUAGCCCUGCAGAGAAGAAGGCCAUGUGAACCUGAAGACGGCCAGCCACAAGCCAAGGAGAGAGGCGUCAGAAGAAACCAACCCGCUGGCACCUUGAUCUCGGACUUCCCGCCUCCAGACUCUGAGAAGGUAAAUUUCUGUUGUUUAAGCCCCGCAGUCUGGUUCUUUGUUAUGGCAGCCCGAGCUGAAUAAUACCCGCUCCCAUUCUGCCCCAGGACCUUGGGGCCAGCUCAGAAUGCCCCAGCACUCAUCUGAGUGGUCGUUUUCAAGCUUUAUUUUCUCAACCACACAGCUGUCUUUUCCAAAUGAAACCGUAUCCUACAGCCCAAUACACCAAACAGAGAAGCGGGGUUGUUCCGGUUGAGUGAAGGGGUGGGAGGAGCUGCCUGGCUCCAGUAUUUCGACACCCUUAUUCUCACCUGACAUCUGUUGGCCUGGGUACUUUCCAUAGAGGACAGUUUACAAUCCACUGCCCUGGGGGGUUAUACCCGUUUUACAGAAGACCCGUCAGCCUGGGGCUGGCAGGAGAACCCCCUACGGGAAAAAGUGACACCUGUCACUUCCUUGCCUGUUGUCUCUACUCUUAGGUUUCAGGGUUUUAUUACAACAGAGAUUCAGUCGAUGAACUCAUUCCCAGUCAAACAUUGGGAGAGUCAGUUAGGAUGGAAUGCUGGAUUCUCAGUCGGAUGCCAGGGUUGGUGCCUCCUCCGCCCUUACUAGCCGGGUGCCCCUUGAGCCAGUCACCUCCCCUCUGUGAACCAUCGAUUUCUCAUCUGUAAGUGGGGAUGGAUGCUAAGGGCGUGAGCUAGGAGGCAGCCUAGGCGAGUAGAAUCAACAUGAGCUUUAGGGUCGGACAGACCUGAGUUUGACCCCAGCUCUGCCACCUCUCAGUCGUGUGGCCUUGGGUAGGUCAAGUGACCUCUGAGCUUUGGCUUCCUCAUCUGUCACAUGUGGGUAAUAGGCAGCCGAGAGGGCUGUCCGGGGAUUAACAACAUCAUGUGUGCAGAGCGCCCUGCACAGAACUUGACACACAGUAGGUGCGCAACUAAAGCCAGUUCUCUCUGAACGCUCCUGUCUUUCUAGUAGAUCAGAGAUCAGCACACUUUGUCCGGAAAGAGACAGAGAGUGAAUAUUUUAGACUUUGCGGCCCUUAUAGUCUCUGUUGCAACUGCUCGGCUCUGCCGUGGAGGCAGAAAAGCAGCCAUAGACACAGGUAACUGAAUGAAUGUGCUGUGUCGAUUCAACUUCACACACACCGAAAGUCGAAUUUACUACAACUUUCACAUGUCAUGAAAUAUUCUUUUGAUUUUUUAAACAAUUUAAAAACGUGAAAACCAUCCUUACUCGUGGGUUGCACAAAAACACAGAGAGCUGGAUUUGGCCGGUGGGCCGUAGUCUGCAGACCCCUGUGUCAGAUUGUGAACGUCUGCAAACCUGCCCAAGCUCCUUUAUAGUCUCAGUGUCUCUCCCACUCCUUGCAGCCCCCAGUGAGCGUCUGGUGAAUGACAGAGAUACUGAAUGUCCGUCUAUCUCUCAGAGGUACAGCUGUGGGAAUUGGUACUCGAGGCACUUUGGGGAAGAAUGAAGCCCCUUCCAAGGGAAUUGCAUCUUGCAAGAGGAGGCAGGGGGAGCUGGGGGCCCCGGGGACCAAAGACCUUGACGUUCCUGUAAUUCUGGCACCGCGGGGUCCCCUGCCAUCCCCGAUUCGGCCAGCAGGGGGCGCUGCGGGACCGCUUUCCUCCGCGCGUCCGGGCGGCCGGGAAGUCGUGUCAGCGGCGCCUGCUGGGAGACGCGAGAUGCCGCGAGGUGGCUCCAUGCCCUCCGGGUGUCUUUUCUCCCCAGGGAGUCUCGGCGCUUUUUUGCAGAGGGAGGCACGGGGAUGAGCUGCCCGGCGGCGGAGCUCAGGACCAGCAGACCCCUGUUCCCGGAGAUGGAAUGAAAUGAAAAUACAGCCCACGUUGCAGGUGGCCGUCAUCUGGAGUUUCAGAGUUCCCUUUAUCACUCCUUUUGCUUAGUUCGUAUGUGUUUAUAGAGGAAUUAAUUGGGGAAAAAAGCCAGGUCUGUCUUUAAUUAAAGGCAGGCCCAUUAAGUGCGUGACAGAUACCAGGAAGAAAGAAGUGGUCAGAUUGGGCCGUGCUUGGGCACCGAGGACUUGCAAAUGACACUCAGCCUUUGAGACCUCAAAGAAAGCCCAGAGGCGAGACCGUUUGCCCCCGAAGGCCACCUGUGAUGUCUUGGACAGUGAUGGGCACGGUUUGCUCCCUGAGUCUUUGUGUCCCCAUCUGUGAAGUAGGGAGGGAGAAAUGUCACAGAUAAGCCCAUGGUGUCUGGCGGUGUUUGCAAAGCAGGGACCCCAGGCCAGCAGCAUCAGCAUCACCUGGGAGCUUCUUAGAAAGGCACAUUCUGGGGCCGUGCUCCAGACCCCUGAAUCAGACACUGGGGUUUGGCGCCAGCAAUUUGAUGCCCGCUCAGGUGUGAGAGCCACUAUAGGUGUCCUGUGGCUGUUUGCAGCCUUGGCUGCACAUUGGAGUCACCUGGCUUUUUUUUUUUUGAGGAAGAUUAGCCCUGAGCUAACAUCUGCCGCCAAUCCUCCUCUUUUUGCUGAGGAAGACUGGUCCUGACCUAACAUCCGUGCCUAAUUUCCUCUACUUUAUAUGUGGGAUGCCUGCCACAACAUGGCUUGCCAAACAGUGCAUAGGUCUGCACCCGGGACCCGAAUCGGUGAACCCCUGGCCGCCAAAGCAGAACAUGGGAGCUUAAUCGCUGCACCACUGGGCCGGCCCCUCACCUGGCGUUUUAAAGCCUCGAUGUGGGGACCACACCCCAGACCAGUUGCAUCAGGCCACCUAAGUUUGGAACCAGCAUCUGCGGCUUGUUGAAGCUCCCCAGGUGAGUCCAGUAUAGCCAAGGUUGAGCCCACUGGGGUAGUGGAAAGUAGUUGUGGGGUUAGGCAGACCCAAGUUCAAAUCGCAGCUUUCUCACUAGCUGUUUGACCCUGGGCGAGGCACGCCGCUUCCCUGACCCGCGGCUCCUCUUCUGUAGACUCGAGAUCGUCUUUCCUCCUUCGCAGAAUUGUUUAAAGAUGGAGUGAAUGAUGCACGUAAGCAUCUCGAAAACAGAAACUCCUAGAAGAAUACCUGGCACCCAGUGGGGGGUCAGCACAUGACAGCUCCCUUUCCCGUCUGUUGGACUGUGGGAGUUUUCCGGAGCAGGGAGCGCAUCAUGUUUUUCUUUGCAUCCCAGGGAAUAAUCAACACCUUGUAUGAACCACACCCUAGGGAGGGAGCUGGGCAAGCAGGCAUGCGAGAUGCUCAGCUCCUGGGUUUCUGAUCUGACCGUCUCGCUGGGACUGCACUCCAGUGACCUUUAUCCCCUUUGUCAUAACCCAGGUCAGUCCUGAUAUCUGUUUAAAUUAAAAAUGCACAGUCCCCUUGACCCUUAGGAAUCUAUUCUGACACGAACAAAAUUGCCAGCGUGUUAGGAUACGUGUGCAGAGAUAUUUCUUUGUGUGGUGUUUGCCCUGGAAAAAGUCAGAAACAUAACUUUACCCAUAGGGUGAAUAGUAGAAUAAAUUAUGGCACAUUCAGUGUUAUGGAACGCCAUGAACCAUUACAAAGUAUUUGGUAGAUCUGUGUGUAUUGAUCUGGAAAGAGAUGUAGUAUAUAUUGUUGGGUGAAAAAGCAAAUACCUGAUUCAUGCCUGCCACAUAAUUCGUUUUUUUUUCUUUUGAGGAAAAAGAGCCUCCAUAUUGUGUGUGUGUGUUGUGCGUAAAGGGAAGCAAAGCAUGCAAGAAUGCACUCCAGGCUGUUUGAAUUGGUUACUUUGUGGGAUUGGAGAGAGGGAGAAAGUCACUCGUUCAAUUAUUCAUUUAUAUUCUCGUUCAUUCAUUCAUUGGUGCGUUCAUGUUUUCAUUCAAUGAAUAUUUAUUUAAGGUCUGCUGUGCAUCAGGCAUUGUAACCCUGGGGAUGCAGCUGUGAACAGAAUGGACCAAGUUGCUGCUUUCGUGCGUCUAGAGUGACUAACUGUUCCAGUUUGCCCGGGACUGUCCUGGUUUUGGCACUGCGAAUCCAGUGUCCCUGGCCGAUCCUUAGUCCUGGGCAAGCUGGAGGGAUGGUCAGCCUGUGGAGCGUGCAUGUUAGUAUGUGGGGGGGACAGAUAAACAAAUAUAAGAGUGUGGCCGGUGUUUUGGCGGUAAACGAGCCAUGUGGGAGCUCCUCCAAUUCGCUCACGGGGAGAAUAAUCCUCCUGUAAAUUGGGACUGGCUGUCAGUGAUGCGAGGGAGCUCUCUGAUCGCCCCACGGGUCCUCGGCCAGCUCUCCAAAUUGCUGAGUCGGCAGUGGGACCUAAUUUGUUAAUUAAGAGUAGAUGCUGAGCUGUCCUCGUAUUUUGAUUAACCUAAUGACCUUCCCAGCAUGGCUGGGACUCAUGUGUAGACAUCACUGCAACGUUUAAUGAAAUGAUUCGAAGGGCUAUUAGGAGACCCAUCCCGUUAUUAGGCAGCUCGUCUGCACUGGUAACUGCCUAGCAGCUGAGCCUAUCGGAGCCGGGGCCCCAGUGAACGCUUGGUGUUUGGUUAAAGGCGUGAUGCUUAAUCUUUUAGUCACGCUCGAGGGGUUGAUGGCCCUUCUGGCUUUGACCCAAUUUGCUCUGCACUGGAAGAGCAACUGGGAGAAGAGGCGUCACAGGCUCUGAGGCUGGAGCAGGUGCUGCUGGCGUCCUGCUCACGUCCCCUUGGUCCCAGCAUCUUCCAUCUGCAAGCACCUGUGACACUGGAGACUCUGCGUAGAGUUUUCCUUGCUGGCCCGUGCAUGGCCGGGAGUUCUGGGAGGGGAUGUUAUGAACUGAAGUGUCCCCCAAAAGAUGUUGGAGUCCUAACCGCCACACCUGUGAAGGUGACUUUAUUAGGAAAUAGUGUGUUUGCAGACGAUCGAGUUAAGAUGAGAUCAUUAGGGUGGGUUCUCAUCCAGUAUGACUUUAUAGUAUAUCCUUAUAUCCGGUAUGUCCUUAUAAAAAAUGGAAAUUUGGACAGAGACAGACUUCAGGUAGGCUGCCGUGUGAAGUUGAGGGCAGAGAUCAGAGUGGUGUAUCCAUAAACAAGGGAAUGUCAAAGACGGCCAGUAAUCCGGCAGAAGCCGGGAGGGAGGCGUGGGACGGAUUGUGCCCCCCAGCCUCAGAAGGAACCAACCCUGCCAACACUUUGACCUCAGGCUUCCAGCUUCCAGAACUGAGACAAUAAAUGUCUGUCGCUGAAGCCGCCCAGCGUGUGGGGCUUUGUUACGGCAGCCCCAGAAAAUGAACAGAGGGAGUUAAAACACUCCCACCCCCAGGGAAUAGGCUGCGCUCUGUGAUUGAUAGGACCCAGCUCCCUGGUGGGGUACACUGUCUCCCGGAGGGCCCCAGCGGGGUGGAGCCCCGUUGCCCACAGCAGUGACCCGUUGCCAAGCGCAUCCUGCACUGACUGCCCUUCCCUGUCUCAUUGCUCAUCCCCCAGCCGUGUUUCCUGGGAUCAUGUCCCACAUGGGCCACUUGCACGUGAAUUUCCAUCUCAGAGUUUGCUUCUAAGACAGGUCUUGACAUCGUCUUGACGGCCGGUAUGUGCAUGUGUGUGUGUGCAUGCCUGUGUGUCUGUGUGUGCCUGUGUGUCCUGUGUAGUAUAAAGACCCGGGCUCGCAACCUCCGGUGUGCGGGAAAGGUCACUUCAUGUCCAUAUUGAGCCCUCAGCUGGUGGACUGCCACCUUCAUCUUCGGGGUCCCCGCUGGCUCUUCUCCCCGGGUCGUGUCUCAGUUCUGGAAGAGGGGGUUCUGUGAUCCAAGGCCUGGUGGGGGCAUGGCUGUGUGCCACCCCCUUUCCAGCCUGAGAUGUCCUUGUUUCCCUCUGGUCCUUGGGUUUUGGCUCGUUCAAGUCAGCGUGGCCUCGUCUUUCUGGUCCAGCUCUGCCUCUGCCACUGCCGGGGCCAUCCUCGGCUGUUAUGCCACUGCGAUCAGAGGCUGGAGAAACACGGGUGCUCUGUGAAGCCACUGUCCACUUCUGGGCUCCUUCUGGGGGCGUGAGCCAACCUACUACACGCUCCGUGUGCCAGGUUGGUGUUCUCCUUCAGGAGCUGGAGCUGGCACUGGGCUGUGGGGCGGCCAGGCCUCAGGGCAGUGUGGCCUGAGCAGAUUCCUCCACAGUCCAUUUCCGGGUCCCCACUUCUCUCUCUCCUGGGACACUGGUCGGGACCGACAUUCCUGGGUACCAUCACAGCUGGGAGACCCUGGGGCGGGAAGAGAGAAAGACCUCCUUCCUUGGGUACGUGACUGGGCUCAGGGGCAUUUGAAUUUUGAAAAUGACGUCAGCAAUAUACAAAUCUAUGAAAAACAACCACCGAAACAUUUGGAGUCAAAGGUGAAAGGCCCCCUUCAGCUUGUCUGUUGACAAUAUUUCCUCUCCCAGACUAUUAUAUAAAUAUGGCUAUAGAAACAGACACAGCUAGAUAUAGAUAUAGACAGAUGUAGAUAUAGAUAGAUGCUACAGCUAUAGAUUGGAUAUGGCCAUAGAUACAGAUAGAUAGAUAUAGAUUUGGUUAAAGACAUAGACCCAGAUAUAGGAAUAGACACAUCUAAGAGUAGAAAUAGGUGCAGAUGGUGUAUUUUUAAAUGUACAUUAUUGUGCUGUCUGCGUGGUCCGGUGACUUUCUGUUCUCACUAGACAAUUGUCCUAGAGAUUUUCUGAAGCGAGUACAUCUAUACCCAUCGCAUUCUUUCACCCGGUCCCUUGUUAAUUGGCCAUCAAAUUGUUCCCAUUUCUUCUGCAGCUUUUUCAUACAAGGCUGCCACAAAUGUACUUUAACAGACACUUAGAUCUUUAUGUAUUUGUGCAAAUAUUUCUGCAGAGCAGACUCCUGGAAGUAGAAUUCCUGGGUUCAAAGGUAAGCCCAUUUCAAGUUGCCCUCCAAAAAGAUUGAGCCAACUGAUGCUCCCAGAGUAAUUUAAUUGGAAUGUGACAAAGGACGGGGACCUUGUGUACUUUAAGCUGGUGAAGUGGGGCAGAUCAGUGACAUGCAAAUAGGUUAUUAGGGAGCAAGCAGAUCUGAACCGGGUGCCACUCAGCAACGCUUUGUUGUUUAUUAUUAGUGCGCCAACUUGAAAGAGCAAACAAACUGUGUUUCUUUCAUAUGUUUUAUAAUUUAAGAUUCCUCUGAUAGAUACAAGACUUUCUGUCAUGGCCGUGAAAACGCACUCUGGGUAAUGCUGGUCCCUGAGGAAUGAAAGACUUGUGGAGCAGAGUGACCUCAGUGCCUGCCAUCCUUGCAGCCCUGCAGCUUGAGGAACGAUACCCCAGCUCAGUAUGCUAACAAGCACUUAUUGCUGUCUGCCUUUCAGGAUGGUUUGUCACGCAGCAAUCGCUGACUGAUACAAAGCUUUCUCUGUGCUCUGCUCACCCAUCUGUUUAGCCCACAAUCACAUGUGAUUAGAAAGAAAGAAAGAUUAUUAUGAACCGUUUACUUCUCUAAAAUCUUUACCAGACUGUAUGUUCAGAGUGGGAAGAAAUUAUAUUUCUCUGGUUUGCUUCAUCUAAAAUUCUACCUGGCCCGUGGCAGGAGCUUAGAAGGUACUUAUUGGAUGGAUAGAUGAACGAACGAAAGAAAGAAAGAAUAAAUGAGCUGAGCUUGCCCCAGUCCCUUGGCUGUCCUUGGAGCCUCCUAGUUAUAUUUUCUUUCUUUUUGGAAAAUUACUCUAAUUUUAGCCAAAGUCAAUUUUUAUGAUGUCUCAAAAUCAAACAUGCAGAACCCCCAAACCUUAACGAAUACAUACAAGUUCAGCACUUCGUUUAGGAAGCACUUCCUCCUCAUCUUUGGUUUAUUUCAUAUUUACGACAGUCUUAGGAGGCACCACUUCUUUCCCUUAAUUGGGACGACCUGAGGACCAGACAGGCCAAUCAUGGGCUCUUGUCUCCUCCACUAGCAGGUGACCUGGAGGAAGCUGGCAGCUGCAUCUCUAGCUCCUGGUCGAGGGACUUCCUUCAGCCACUUCCUUCGCAUGGGUUCUGCCCCUCACUGAAACGAUGGGGGUCCUUCUCUGAGAAUGUAUGUAUAGUAUUUGAGUGUGGUCCUCUCUCCAAGAAUGUGUCUUUAUGCCCGCUAGGGUGCAGGAGAAUAAAGUGUGAUUUUUUUCUGGUCAGGAAAACAUUAAUGAAAAAUGAACCAUCAGUGAAAUUAAUUUCCAAGAUUUAUGCAUUCUCCGUGACUAACAAGCCUGCACCUGUUCAUUUGACACCCUUUCCCAGCUCCCCCCUCACCCCCCUUCCCAUCUUUUUAAAAUUCCCCUCUUUCCCUGAAGGCACCUGGUUGGCGUGUUGAGCAGUUAAAUAAAUGUACAGUGGGCUAGAGACACGACUUGUUAAUUAAAAAUUCUGCUCUUCCACUUCACAGUUAUGAAGAGAUGAGCCAGGCUGAGCAGAAAGAGUUACUGUCGAGGAGAUGCUGGCUGGAUUUUUAUGUGCCGUUUAAAUGGGCCCCCGUGUAGUGGGAUGGGAGAGCAGACAUUCGUUAGCUUUCCCACUGAGCUCGCUCCGCCUCCCAUGCAGGGUCAUCUUCUCUCCCAUCCUCCCCUCCCUCUGCGUCAGGACGGCACCUUGUAGUGAGCGGGUCAUGCGUUCCCCACAUCUGCCUUUCCCCAUCCAUCCCUUGUCCUUGGCUCCAGCAUUUUUCUCUCCACACCACUGACCCUAAAUCUUCUCAUUCUUCCCUCGUGGACAUUGGUGGAUGGACGUCUCCAAGAGAUUGACUCAAUGGGCUCUUUCUGGUUGGCGGCUCUCAAUGGUUGGAAGCUUGUCUGUCGGACUUCGUAAAAAGCUACAGAGAAAUCUAAACUUUGGAUCUCUGACAACAGGCCUUCUUUGGACGUGAGCCCCAUCUUCACACUAGCCUCAGAUCUGCACGCUUCACCCUGAGUUGUGCCUUUCAGCAGCAUGAAAGUAUUUCUAGAUCUGAGAAUGUUCUAGACUCUUUCUCAUCUUCUAGCCUUCACAUGACCUUCUGCCCGAGGCGUAACUGAGGUGUAACAUACAUGCAGUGUGUGUAAAAUGCACACGUCGUAGUAGGUAGCUCGAUGAACGUUUAUAUAUGCGUACGCCUGUGUAACCGCCACUUAGACCAGGAUACGGAAUAUUUCCAGCUUCCCCAGAAAGUUCCUUUGUGUUCCUUCCCAGCCAAUACCUUCUUCCCCAGAAAGAACCCCUAUUCUGACUUCUAUCACCAUCAAUUCAUUUUUCUUGUUCUUGAACUUCAUAGGAAUGGAAUCAUACAAUGUGUCCUCUUCAGGGCUUUGGCUUCACCCAUCGUUAGGUCUGUGGAAUGAAUCCAUACUGUUGUGUCCUUUUUAUUGUAAGACUUGACCGCAAUUUACUUAUUCAUUCUCCUGUUAAUGGAUGUUUGCAUUUUUCUCCAGUUUUUAGCUAAAGUCAACAAAGCUGCUAUAAACAUUCUCGUGUAUGUCUUUUGGUGGAUAAGUGGGUGUGUUCUAUAGGGCGGAAAUCCAGAAGUGAAAUUUCCAGGUUCUAGGGUAGGUCUGUGCUUAACUCUGUAAGGAAUUUGUAGACACCUUUCCGAAGUGCUUGUGUCAAUUUAGACUCCCACCAGCAGUGGAUGAGAGUUCCAGUUGCCUGACGUUUUUGCCAGCACUUGGCAUUAUUAGUCUUUUUAAUUCUAGCCAUUCCGCUGGGAGGAUAUUAGUUCUCCCUCUCUUUUGACUGGCUUAGUUACGAUUUAUCUUUCAGAUGUCAGCUCAGAUGUCAUCUCUUCCAGAAACUCUUCCGUAUGAGUCUGCUUGGGCUGCUAUAACGAAAUGCUAUAGAAUGGGUGGCUCAAACAACACACAUGUGUUUUCUCAGAGUUCUGGAGGCUGGAAGUCUGAGAUCGGGGUGCCAGCAUGGUCUGCUCCUGGUGAGAGCCCUCUUCCCAGCUUGCAGAUGUCUGCCUUCAUGCUGUGUGCCUACAGGGCCCUUUCUUGGUGCAUGCGCAUGGAUGGAGAUCACUCUCUCUUUCUUCCUCUUCUUGUAACAGCGGUAACCCCACCAUAGGGGCUCCGCCGUCAUGACCUCGUCUAAACCUAAUGACCUCCCAAGGGCACCAGCACAUUGGGGGCUUAGGGCUUCAACCUACGAAUUUUUGGAGAACACAAAAUUUCAGCCCAUAACAUCUUCCCUGACUCCUUAGCCUGGGUUAGUCCCCGAAUGCCCACCCCAUCACGGCUCUGAUGGUGCCGAAGCGUAAUUGUCUGUUGGCUUGGCAGUUGCUCCCCCUAGACGUGGAAAUCCUCAAGGACAGGGACUGUGUUAGUUCCUUAGCACAGAGGCUGGCACGUGACUGGCGCUCAGUAGCUGUUCAUUGUCUGGAAUGUCAGCACACUGACUGUCCUCUCCCACGCAGGGCAAGACCCCGCGGGUCAGUCCCUUCAGCCACUCCAAGAUCCCUGAUGGCUCAAAGUUCCUAUGUGUCAGCCUCGUCUCCCAGCAUGGAGGGCAUGACCUGCCUCCCCGAGGUCUCUCGCUGUUCUGGGUCUGCUCAGCUGCCCCAAUUUCCCAUGCUUGGGUACAAGACGCCACCCUUGAGGUCUUUGCUAAAGCCUCCGAUUUCUGUGUCCGGCUCCAUUGUGCCUCCUGUCCCCAUUCACCUCAGGCACCAUCAGAAACCCAUGUCACGCUCCUUCCCUGACUGUUCUGUGCAUCCCCUGCUCUGACUCCAUCCCAAACCUAUCCACUGUGUUCUCAGGAACUCAGCCUUUUACCAGUAACUCCUGACUUCUCGUCCUCAACCUGUCCUCUGAUUGCCCCCAUCACCUACUUUCUCUUCCUGAGCUGAGGCUGCUCCCCCAAGGACACAGCUUCCCUCUUUGCCUCUCAAGUAGAUUCAAUGCCCCCGCCACCCCCCAGCUCCAUGUAGCCAGGCCCUGCAGGGGGCAUCAAUGGCCUGUGUUUAUCCCAUUCUUGCCCCCAGACUUUUGUUCUUCUUUCCUUCCUUGUAAGUCUCGGCUCCUUUAAAGCUGUUGUCAUCCAACCUGUCAGCUGUCCUUGCUGAUGUCAUCUGUACACCUUGGUCGUUCCUCAUUCACAUGACUUCACCCAUCUCACUAUUGCCUCUGCUACCAUUCUUGGUGACUUUAUCAUCCAUAUGGAUCAGUAGCUCUCAACCCUGCUUGAUGUUAGAGUCACCCGGAGCCCCAGCGGAGACCAAUUAAAUCAGAAUCGGCAGAGUGGGACUCAGGCGCUGCAUUAAAACAAAAUGUCUUCAGAAGAUCCUAAUGUGCAGCAGUGUCGAUAGCUGCUGAGGGCGAUGACCCAUUCAGUACCUUGGCCUCUCGAUUCCUUGAUCUCCUGAGCUGCAAAUCUUUUUCUGUAGUCUUCUUAGCUACCUCCUGCCACGGUUGAAUCCUAGACGUCAUCGUGGUUCCAUCCACAGAUGCUUCCCAUCCGUGACCACCACCUUCUGCUCUUCCAUCCUGUUUUCCUCCAGCCUCAAGGAGCUGCCAGUCUGUUGACAUUUUCAUUCUCCCUCACCAACCUCACGUCCUCACUUUCCUCCAUGAUCCAGCAAACUCGGGUCCCACAAACUCAAAGUGAGCCCUCAGAACUGUUUAGCAGUCCCACGAUGUGCGCCUGGCUGCUUUCCUUGGGGACCAUUGUUUUAGAUCUCGUCUUUCCUCAGUUCUCCAAACUGCCCAUGCCCCUCCCCCUGGCUAUGACAUCAUCAUAUAUUCUAUAGAGAAAAUUGAUAAUAGGUGCACUCACAUGAGUACAACUUCCUCUUCCACAGGCCAACCAACACCUGCACCCGUAUUCCCUGCCUUCUAUUUUAUAACAAGAGACCUGUCCAUACUCCUGUCGAAGGUCAACCCAUCACUGGGACCCUAGAUCCAUCCUUUCUCAUCCUCUCAGAGCAUUCUCCUACAGCUCUUCCUUCCAUCCUGCAGUGAUGACUGUCUCCUCUCUCCUAGAUCAUUUCCAUCAGUCUCGUGCCCUGACACAGCCCACCCAAAAGAACGUAAAUGAUCCUCUCCCGACUCCGGUUUCUAUGAUCUCACACCCAUUUUCAGCUAGAAUCCCAAUUUCCCAUCCUUUUCCCCCGCAAAAUGCUUAUAUUUAUGGUCUCCACUUCCUCACCUCUUUUCCUCUCCUUAACCCACUGCAAUUAAGUUUUAACCUUUCUGAAAAGCGACCCCCGCUUUGCUAAAGGCGGCAGUUGAUUUCCUUUUCUCAUCCUGCUCCAACAGCAGCAUUUGACAGCAUUUGACACUGUUGAUCACUUUCCUCUUCUGGAAACAGCUUUUUCUCCUGGCCUCCGAGACACCACACUCUUCUGGUUUUCUACCUCCAGUAUUGGCCACUUUUCCUCAAUCUCUUUUUGCUGACUCCUCCUCUCCUAUCGGACCUCUAAAUGUGUGCAUUUCCCAGGAUGUCGUACUCAGCCCUCUGGACCCAUCUUCUCUCCUCACGACCUCGUCCCGUCCUGUGUCUUUAAAUCCCAUCUAUGUACCCAUGAUUUUAUCCCCAACAGAAAUCAAUUGCUUCCACUUCUUCAAAGACUAAUCAGCAUCUCAAACUUAUCGCGGCCCAAACAGGGUUUUGGAUUCCUCCUCUCGUCCUGCUCUAUGGCCCUCCAAGCCAUCCCUGUAUCUGGAUAAGAUGCUACUUCUGAAGGUUGUGUAGGUCCCAAACCUAGAAGUCAUCCUUGAUUUCCUCUCUUCUCAUCCAGAGCCAGUCUGUUAUCACGUCCUUUUAGGUCUUCCCACAACAAAAUACAUAUGGGAUGGCCCUACUUCGUGGCAUCACCUUGACUGCUACCAAAGUGGGCCAGGGGAUGCUGGAGGCAGAGACUGGGUGAUGCAGCCACAAGGCAAGAAACUCCAAGGAUUGCUGGUAACCACCCAAUGCUGGGAAAAGGCAGAGAAGGUUUCUUGCCUGGAGCCUUCGGAGGGAAGAUGGCCCUCCUGACACCUUGAUUUUGGACUUCUAACCACCAGAACUGUGAGACAAUAAAUUUCUGUUGUUUUAAGCUACUUGGUUUGUACAAUUUAAAAUCCCAGCUCUACCAAAGACAAGCUGUGCCAUUGGGAAGCGACUCAACCUCUCUGUGCCUUGUGAGGGGACGAUGAUAGUAACAGUACCUGUCUCACAGGGUUGCUGUGAGGCUAAAAUGAACGAACAGGUACCUGGCUCGUAGGAAGACUGGGUGAAUUUCUCCCAGUGUUAUUUAGCUUUGUCACAAUGCAGAUUCAGUGUCAACUCUAGAUCCAAAAUUUGCUACUUGUGUGACCUUGGGCAAGUCCCAGAGCUUCAACUCCCUCUUCUGAAAAGAGGUACUAAUCAUAUAAUCUCAUAGGAUUUGGGUAACAAUGAAAACAAGAUUAAGAUAAUUAAGGAGUGCAGAGUGGGUACCCAAGAAACAUUACUCCUCCCGAACACAUGAGUGGGCUGAGUUCUAAAAAUGUGUUUGAAGGCACAUGUUUUGAACUAGAAAUGCCUUUCCAGUAGAAGCCAGACUCCAGUGGAUUGGUGGUGUCCCAAGAUAGCCCGUCACAUUCUGUUUUUAAGGCUGAGAACAUUUUCGUUAUGAAAUAUUUCAAGUCUUCAGAAAAGUACAGGAAAUAAUAUGACACCCGUGUGCCCACCCCCUGCAGUUAACAGAUGUUAACAUUUUGUCAUAUUUGCUUCAGAUGUUACAAGAGGAAGAAACUGUUACAGUUACAGCUAAGACAAAGCUAUUAAUCAAGAGUGCAGCUGAAUUCUGGUCCUGAGGAAUGGUUCUGUGUUAGGUGCUUCGUGGAUCCUGGGGACGCUGACACAACUGAGUGAGUGCCCUGCCUUCUGCGGGCUCACAGACCAGUGGGAGAGGCAUACUUGUCAAUGGAUAAUUGUCCCACACUGGGACAAACACCACAGCAAUGGAGUACGCCAGAGCAGUGGUGGUGGGGGCACGGGCGGUCCGAGAAGGUUUUCUGGAGGAAGUGCCAUUGAAGUCAUACCUUGAAAAGUUAAGUGGAAUUUUGUUGGAUGGAUUAACGGAGCAAUAGGCUUUCUGGUGGAGGGAACAGCAUAUGCAAAGACAGGGAGGCUGGAAAGGGUAUGUGAUCUGGGGUUACAAUGUACAGAUAAUGAUGUACAACUUCUGCCUGACCUUUUGAAUUGUGAGAUGUUGUGUCUGUUUCCUACAGUUCCAUAACAAAUUACUGCCAACCGAGUAGCUUAAGACCACAGACAUUUAUUGUCUCACUGUUCUGGAGGCUAGAAGUCCAAAAUCAAGGUGUCAGCAGGGCCACCUUCCCUCUGCAGGUCCUACGGGAGAAUCCUUUGCCUUUUCCUGGCCUCUGAUGGUUACCUGCAAUCCUGGGAGUUCCCUGGUUUGUAGCUGCAUCACCCCAAUGCCUGCCUCCAUCAUCUCUGGUCACUUUCUCCCCCUGGGUUUCUGUUCUCUUCUCCUCUUCACAUGAGGACACCAAUGACAUUGGAUACCACUCCAGUAGGACCUCAUCUUAAUUUUUUUUUUUUUGAGGAAGAUUAGCCCUGAGCUAACUACUGUCAAUCCUCCUCUUUUUGCUAAGGAAGACUGGCCCUGAGCUGACAUCUAUGCCCAUCUUCCUCUACUUUAUAUGUGGGACGCCUACCACAGAUGGCUUUUGCCAAGCGGUGCCGUGUCCACACCCGGGAUCUGAACCAAUGAACCCCAGGCCGCUGAGAAGCAAAACAUAUGAACUUAACCGCUGUGCCACCGGGCCGGCCCUUGACCUCAUCUUAAUUUAAUUAAUCACGUCUGCAGCAACUCUGGGAGCCCAAGGAUUUUUCCCCCAGGAUGGCCCCUCCGUGCCUUGGGUGUGUGUAUAUUUUUAUAUACACGUGCAUACUGUACAUUUAUGUGUGCAUGCAUGUAGAUAUGUAUUUUAUAAGCUUUGCUUCUGCUCUAAAUGUCACCGUUCUCAUUUGUAGGCACAGGGAGACAUCUGUCAUCCCUCCUAAGUCUCAAGGGCAUGAAUUCUUGUCUUGGUUUUGCAUUGAUCUUUUUAAAAAGGAAAUCCCCUCUGUGGAUGUGACCAAGGCAAGGGAUCUAACGGGUUGCCAGGACACAGUCCAGUCAAUCCGAUAUUUCCCGGGCAUCUGCCGGAUGCCUCGUGAUUCAGCUGUGGCUGAUUCCUUUGUGCCGUCUUUAGGUGGCUGGUUGAUGGAGAUUCCAGGUGUCAGGAAGACCUAAUUCAUAAAAACAGGCUUGGGAUACAGCCUGAGAGGACGUGAGUGCCAAGUGUGGGCAGCCGGCUCGUGAAGCGUUCACGGGCCUGAGACAGCACACGUAGAAGACAGUUGGAUUGUGGGGUGUUGAGUCAAGCGUCUGGAGCUGCCAGAACCUGAGGAUCACCUGGGGGAAGCCUGAGAACAAGGCACCAGCCCGUCCCCUUAUUUGUAUAGCACUUUGCAGUCGACAAACACAUUGAUUUGGCACAUGUUACCCCCUUGAGCACUGUCGCAUCUCUGUGAUCUAAGCAGUUGCCUAUAUUAUGGUUCACUCUGGGGAUGAGAAAACGGAGACCCAGAGAGGUGAUGUUGUUGAACAUUAGGACUUCUCUGAGAGCUUACAAGGGGCCUUUGUGCCAGUGCCAUGAGUGGACCCCAGGGCUGCUCCAUCUGUGCCCUCACUGUGGGCCGGGGGCUCCUCCCUCCUUCCGGGAGGAGAUGUUGGCUGUGGUUCUUAGGCUGGGCCCACAGGGAGGACCCCUGCUGGACGUGGAUUCAGGGAAUCCCUCCACUGGCUGGCGGGGGAGGGUCAUUCCCCCGUGGGGGCAUCACAUCUCAGAUGCCCCUCUCUGCCAGUCAGUGCCCCUUGUCUGGGAGGCCCUUCAUUUUCUUCUCACCACCUUCAUUUUUCCCUUCCACAUCUCCUCACAUCCCUUUCCGCCAUCUUUCCUUAUCCAGCCUCGGAGGAAUUACCCAUCCCUAACCCCCAUGUGCCAGGCACGGUGAAAAGUGCUUUCUCUCCGUCAUAAGCCUUACCGCGUCACCAACAGGAAGGGGCUGUUACCUCUGAUUUGCAGGUGGGGAGAUGGAGGCAUGCGUUGAAGAAGAUGCUGGCCCAAAGUGGUCCAAAGUCACUUAACUGGAUUCGAAUCAGUUUUAAGGGUACCUGGGAUUUGCUUUAAUCAAGGAUGGUAAGACGCAGAUGUGGAAAGAGCUGUCACAAAGGAAGGAGUUUCUCAUAGAAACAGAGGGCAGGGCACGUCACGCAGGGCCACAUGGAGGAGCACCAGGGUCAGUCAGGAGGCAGAGGGAGUGAGGGGGAAUGUGGGUAGUGCCUUCAUCGUGGUUUCCGUGGGCUGGAACGGGCAAGGGAAGGGAAGCGGGCUGAGGGUCGGCUGGUUGGAAUAAUUUCAGUGGGCCUGGGGCACGGGGCUGCCCCUGGUUGUCUGGUACCUGGGCAGUGGUGAUUGGGGCGGAGGGGUGGUGGCCUGAGGGAGUGUGAGAGCCUGAUAAAGGGGGUGGCUGGCUGUGGGCUCCGGUUGGCUGAUUUGCAUACGAAAUGUGUGCUUGCAGGUGAGUCAUUCGCUCCCCUUAGAAAUCAGCUUAACUCUGGGGAGGGGCAGCCCCUCCCAGCUCAGCAAGGCUGUAAGAUGUCAAGGCAUCCAAGAUAUAGAAUAAAAAAGGACAUGAUUUUAAUACAGAACCCAAUUCUUAGGAGUACAAAAUCACGUUCUUUCUACUCCGCCCAUCCAUCCUUGUCAAAGACCAGGAGAUGAUUCCUCGAGACCUAGAAGAAAGAAGCACUAUUUUUUUUUUUGGUCCAUGAAUAAUUAUUUUCCUUUUCAGAGUGUGUGCAUUCUUUCUCUUUCUGCAUCCUUCUCUUCUUGCAACCACUUUCUAUGUGAUAUCUAAUGUGACAGUUCUCUUUGAGGGAUCCAGCUUGGGUGACUGUCAGGUCUGUGAUUAAAAAGCAUAAUAUGCUGGCCCAAUGCACCAUAACAAUAGUAGUGAACAGACAGAAGGAUAUUAGAACCGUUGAAUUCUUUGCUGCAUCUCUCUCUUCGCAAGGGCUGGAGCGGAUGCUGGAAAUGCUGCAGUGUAACUCUUUCAGGCUGGCAGUCAGUGGCACCCUGGGAAUCGGAUCAGAGGGUUUUCUUGGCCAGGUGCUCAGAGGCGAGCCCCAGAGGCUCCGUCUGUCCUCUGUGGCUCCUUGGGAGCAGUUUCAUUCCCACCAACGUUUGGCUGAGCAGCGGAGAGGGGGCAAAGAGACCUGUAUCUGAGAUGAGAGCCUGUGUCCGGAGAAUCAGCACAUUUACCUCAAUCCUUGCUCUACGUGUGCGAGUCGGGUAAUAAUAACGAGAAUAAUCGCUUACAUUUAUGGAGCUGUUAUUAUGUGCCAGGCUCUGCGCUAAGCACUUUCCACGCAUCAUUUAUUUAAUUCCCACAAUGAAUCGAUGCAGUAGCCAUGAUUGUUGUCUCCGUUGUACGGAGGAGGGAACCAAAGUGUAGAGAGACAAGGACACACAAGUAGCAGUUGGCGGAGCCACAAUUCAAACCCAGGCAGGCUGACUGUGGGACCUGAGCUCUGAGCAUCAUUUAACAGACGAAGAACCAAGACUAAAAGACGAAGUGACAUUUCCUUAAGGCCGUGGUUCUUAACCAGGAGUGGUUUUGCCCCCACUGGGGGACAUUUGGCAAUGUCAGGAGAAAGUUUGGUGGUCACAGCUGGGCGGGGGGUGGCAGAUGCUGCUGGCUUCUGGUGUGUGGAGGUCAGAGAUGCUGAAAUCAGCCUGUGAUACACAGGAGAACCCCCACCGUACAGAAUGAUGUGACCCCAAAUGUCGACAGUGCUGAGGUGGAGAAACCCUGCCUUAAGGUCACAUGCCUGGAGCCAAGCCAGGAGCUGAGAUCUGGACUCCAGACUCCCAGCACAGUGCCCAUCCCAUUACUCCAAGCAAAGAGUCUUCCCCACUGGAUAGUGAACCUUUGAGGGAGAGGCUGGCAUGAUGAUGGCGUUGUUGCCUCUUGACCUCCCAGCAACACUUUGUGGGAAGUGUGAUGAGCCCCAUUUCACAGAUGAUGAAGAUGAGGCCAAGGAAAUUCAGGAGACAUACCCACGAUGGCAUUAUGAGGACAAAGCAGAGCCAGGACCUUAACCACCCCCCUCUGACCUCAAAGCCUUUGCGUUUAUUUAAGUGAAUUAACUGCAAGACACCGGCACCCAGAUGGGCAACAGAUGGAGAUCAGGGCCCUUGGGAUUUCACUGUGUUGCGUGGAAAAUCCAGGAAAAAAAAUCUCCCCAUCUCAAGCUCCUUCACUUGUCACACUUGUGAAGACUCUUUUGCUGUAUUAGCCCUGAGCUAACAUCUGCUGCCAAUCCUCCUCUUUUUGCUGAGGAAGACUGGCCCUGAGCUCACAUCUGUGCCCAUCUUCCUCUACUUUAUAUGUGGGACGCCUACCACAGCAUGGUGUGCCAAGCGGUGCCACGUCCGCACCCAGGAUCUGAACUGGCGAACCCGGAGCUGCCGAAGUGGAACAUGCGCACUUAACUGCUACGCCACUGGGCCGACUCCACCAGUACUUUCUUUUUGACAUACAUCCCGUUUCUCACUCUCGACACUCUUGACGUUUGGGACGGGUCACUCCUUGCUGUGGGGCGCCCAGUGCACUGUAGGGUGUUGAGCACAUUCCUGGACCCUACUCACCAGAUGCUGGCAGCACCGCCCCCUACAGUUGUGACAACCAAAAUGUCUUCAGAUGCUGCCAAUUGUCCUCUGGGGGGCAACAUUGCCCCCAGUUGAGAACCACUGACCCUCAUCAUGGAAAUGGAAGACCAUGACCUUGGCCUUGGCCCUGGGAUUACGCAGUCAGCUUUGAGUUGGGGCUGGCCUCUGCUCUGUGUGGCUCAGAUAAUGAUGGUGAUAACGAUAAUGAUGACAUCACAGUCAUUCUCAGAGCUAACACUGUGUUACGGUGUCAGACGCUGUUCUAAGCACCGAUCAAGAUCAAGACUCCUGUAAUCCUUUGAACAGCCUUACAGUGUAGGUUUCAUCACUGCCUCUGUUUUACAGAUGAAGCGACAGAGGCACAGAGAGGUUGAGAGUUCACGCAUGGAUGCUAAGCUGUGGAGCAGAGAUCCAAACCCCACUGUGCUCAAGGGCUUGUCCUGGUCCCAGAGGCGGUGGGUGGACACUGAAGGGUAUUAAGAAGGAAGUGACAGGCCAGAUGUGCACGUAGGAAAAGUGACACUGGAGGCCAGGGGGAGGAUGAAUCCACAGCGGGCAAGCGAGGCUGGAGGCAGGGAGGCCGGUUCCACAACUGAUGCUGAAAUCCAGGUCUGGAGGAAGGAGUUCUCACAACCCAGACACAGCACACAUUGCCCAGGAGAAUGGGGCUGCUCAUUCAUUUGUUCAUUUAUUCACUCAUUCAUCUCACGGUUAUUCACCGAGGAUUUCCAUGUGCCUGACGCUGUCCUAGGCACUGGGGUUGACUCCGUAACUGCCUCGUCGAGUUUACAGUCCAGGGGGAGGAGACAGACGAACAAAACAAAAUAAAACAAAACCGCAACUAAACCAUCAUGCAAACCAACCAACCACGGAAACGCUUAGAAAUGAUGACGGGUCCUGUGUAGGAAAUGAAGAGACAUCAAGUCAGGUGGGAGGCGGGGAGGGAGGGGGACGACAACCCUCCUCCAGGUGGGGUGGUGGCUUUUUUGUUUUUUUCCUGAGGAAGAUUCGCCCUGAGCUAACAUCUGUUGCCAAUCUUAUUUUACAUGUGAGCCACCGCCACAGCAUGGCCACUGACAGACCAGUGGUGUAGGUCUGUGCCUGGGAACUGAACCUGGGCAGCUGAAGCAGAGCAUGCUGAACUUAACCACUAGGCCACCAGGGCUGGCCUGGGGGAGGGGGUUAAGGGGGUGAAGUGGCUUUUAAGCUGAGCCUGGAGGAGGAGCAGGAGGAGGAGCCAGCCAGGGGAAGCCUGGGAUGGGGGCGUAGUCUGCAGUGAAAACUCUCCAGCAAGAAUGAUUUGGGAUGUUCUAGAAGGAGCAAGGGGGCCAGCUUAGGGGAGUGAUGGGAGGGAGGAGGAGAGCAGAGAUGAGCUGGGCCUUGUUGGCCAAGGCGAGGAACUUGGUUUUUAGUCUAAGAGCAAGGAAAAGGAAUUUAGCGAGUUUUGAGCAGAGGAACGUUGUGGGCUGUUUUAGGAAUUAAAAGAUCUCUUUGGUGGUGCUGGAUGGGGAUGGGCAUGUCAUCAGGGGCUCGUGGCAGGUGCCCUUGGGGACCGGGGAAGGUGCAGCAGGAGCUGGGAGGAGGGGGCUGGGGUCUUCCCAGGAGUGGUAGCCCACUGCAGCAUCCACGAGGAGCAAGGCCAUCACCCUCAGAUUCCAGAGCUGCUUGGAGAGCAAACCCUCCCACCUACGGGGGCUCGAGAGCUGGGGCUCAGACCCCCAGGACCUCCCAGCAGCAAAGCCACGUGGCCUCAGCCAGUACUGACACAUCUGCCUGCUGGAACCUUCCUUGCCAAUUCUAUUUUUGCUCCCCUUGGCAGCUCUGUGGAAAUUAAAAGGCUAUUUGCAGUGACUAAUUUUGCUAAUUCUGAUCAAACAAUUUAAAAUUCAUCCUUCGCCAUAUCAGAGACCCGCUAGGGAACAGAAUUAACACAUCAUUUACGGCAAUUUCUACGACGGUGGGUGGAAAACAAAAAAGACAUUCAAAUUGUCUCCAUUCGAACCGCUGCUCAUUAAACGGCCUCCUGUAAAACAUCCCAUCCUGGUCUAUACAAUAGCUCCCUGUCUGUUUCCGGCUUAUUAACCGAGAGGAGGGACCGACGAGCUGGUCGCUGGCUCCAAGGUGAUGGGAACAUCCUGGGAGUCUGGUGGGAGGCCGGCUCCAACUGCAGCUCUGGCUCCUCUGAGCCUUCCUGUCUUCAGAAGGGAUGCGGCUCCCGUUUCCAAAAGUUGAAAUUCAGCAAGCCAAAUAUUAAAAGAAUCAAGCUUGCCAGCGUCACCCAAACUUGAGUCACUCACGUAUCCCCUGUGUGAUUUUUGCCAUAUCAUAUCGUAUGAUUUACUCACUAUAAAGCCAACCCAUUUAAAAAUUAAAUUAUUAAUCUAAUUUCCGCAGGAAACUUUAUAACAUAUGCAAUAUGUAUUAAUUAAUGUAUGAAUUUCACAAACAAUAAAUAAAUGCUAAGUAUAAAAAUACAUACAAUGGCUUAAAAACACUUGAAGUUGACUUUUGAACCCUUGGCCUUUGUUCUAAAUAAGCUUCUGUCACGUGUGUGUGUGUGUGUGUGUGUGUGUUAAAAUACACUUAAAAAAGGGGAAACAGGGGCUGGCCUGGUGGCGCAGUGGUUAAGGGCACACGUUCCACUUCGGCGGCCCGGGGUUCACCGGUUCAGAUCCCAGGUGCCAACAUGGCACCACUUGUCAAGCCAUGCUGUGGUAGGCGUCCCACUUAUAAAGUAGAGGAAGAUGGGCACGGAUGUGAGCUCAGGGCCAGUCUUCCUCAGCAAAAAGAGGAGGAUUGGCAGCAGAUGUUAGCUCAGGGCUAAUCUUCCUCAAAAAUAAAAAGAAAUGGGCAAACAAUUAAAAGGCAAUUAUAUACAUAUUUGCAAGCCUUUUGACCAUGUGACAAAUAUGAUAAAGUUAAAAAGUGAAUUACCAGUUGAAAAAUAAAAGUUUAAAUGUAACAACAACACAAAGGAAAUAAACACCGUGGAGAAGGAAACAUGUAUUAGUUUCUAGUUGGAUACAUUUGCCAGUGAAGGCAACUUAUGCAGCGCAGAGGCAGCACACAGCCUGGUCUGGAGGACCAGGGAAGACCUCCUGGAGGAGGUGACCCACCAUCCCAGUCGCUGUGUCUCUUUGAAGUCCCGAGAAGCAGCAGAAUCCUAAAAGAUAUAGUUGAUUUUUUUUCUAUCUCACAUCUCGAGCCUGCAAUUACGCACUUCUACCUGCCUUGGGCAGGGGUGUGUGUGUGUGUGUGUAUGAUCUUUGGUGUAGAUUUUAUAAGGUCCAAUAUUAUGAUAAUGUCUCUAGUCAGCUCUCAGUUCUACCCUUCUCAUCACCAUGGCAACCCACAAA